GACGAACGCUGGCGGCGUGCCUAAUACAUGCAAGUCGAACGCAUUUUCUUUCACCGUAGCUUGCUACACCGAAAGAAAAUGAGUGGCGAACGGGUGAGUAACGCGUGGGUAACCUGCCCAUCAGCGGGGGAUAACACUUGGAAACAGGUGCUAAUACCGCAUAAUUCCAUUUACCGCAUGGUAGAUGGAUGAAAGGCGCUUUUGCGUCACUGAUGGAUGGACCCGCGGUGCAUUAGCUAGUUGGUGGGGUAACGGCCUACCAAGGCUGCGAUGCAUAGCCGACCUGAGAGGGUGAUCGGCCACACUGGGACUGAGACACGGCCCAGACUCCUACGGGAGGCAGCAGUAGGGAAUCUUCGGCAAUGGACACAAGUCUGACCGAGCAACGCCGCGUGAGUGAAGAAGGGUUUCGGAUCGUAAAACUCUGUUGUUAGAGAAGAACAAGGAUGAGAGUGGAAAGUUCAUCCCUUGACGGUAUCUAACCAGAAAGCCACGGCUAACUACGUG
RNAcentral lists this ribosomal RNA (507 nucleotides) under uncultured bacterium. Its description in RNAcentral is "partial 16S ribosomal RNA". It matches the Rfam family "Bacterial small subunit ribosomal RNA", at positions 28 to 507 of the family's 1533-position model. The record is from RNAcentral.